GACGAACGCUGGCGGUGUGCUUAACACAUGCAAGUCGAACGGUAAGGCCCUUUCGGGGGUACACGAGUGGCGAACGGGUGAGUAACACGUGAGUAACCUGCCCUCAUCUCUGGGAUAACAGUCGGAAACGGUUGCUAAUACCGGAUAUGAGCUUGCAAGGCAUCUUGUGGGUUGGAAAGAUUUUUUUUGGUUGGGGAUGGACUCGCGGCCUAUCAGCUUGUUGGUGAGGUAGUGGCUCACCAAGGCUUCGACGGGUAGCCGGCCUGAGAGGGCGACCGGCCACAUUGGGACUGAGAUACGGCCCAAACUCCUACGGGAGGCAGCAGUGGGGAAUAUUGCACAAUGGACGGAAGUCUGAUGCAGCAACGCCGCGUGCGGGAUGACGGCCUUCGGGUUGUAAACCGCUUUCAAUUGUGACGAAGCUUUUUUGUGACGGUAGCAGUAGAAGAAGCACCGGCUAACUACGUG
RNAcentral lists this ribosomal RNA (468 nucleotides) under uncultured bacterium. Its description in RNAcentral is "partial 16S ribosomal RNA". It matches the Rfam family "Bacterial small subunit ribosomal RNA", at positions 28 to 507 of the family's 1533-position model. The record is from RNAcentral.